GCAGCAGGAGGAGGCAGAGAGCACAGCAUCGUCGGGACCAGACUCGUCUCAGGCCAGUUGCAGCCUUCUCAGCCAAACGCCGACCAAGGAAAACUCACUACCAUGAGAAUUGCAGUGAUUUGCUUUUGCCUCCUAGGCAUCACCUGUGCCCUACCAGUUAAACAGGCUGAUUCUGGAAGUUCUGAGGAAAAGCAGCACUAAAGAUGUACCUACCCCUCCACAACAGAUGAAACUGUGCCAGCCAAACAACAAAUGGGCAUUGUCCCCAGAAGCUUGGACAAAAAGGCACACAGAGUUCAAUUCCAGUUGAACAGAAUAAAGGCCAAAAUAGAGCUGCCUUGGGGGUCACUGCAAUUAGACUGCUUAAUGAAGACAUUAAAAGAACUUUACAACAAAUACCCAGAUGCUGUGGCCACAUGGCUAAACCCUGACCCAUCUCAGAAGCAGAAUCUCCUAGCCCCACAGAAUGCUGUGUCCUCUGAAGAAACCAAUGACUUUAAACAAGAGACCCUUCCAAGUAAGUCCAAUGAAAGCCAUGACCACAUGGAUGAUGUGGAUGAUGAAGAUGAUGAUGACCAUGUGGACAGCCAGGACUCCAUUGACUCGAACGACUCUGAUGAUGUAGAUGACACUGAUGAUUCUCACCAGUCUGAUGAGUCUCACCAUUCUGAUGAAUCUGAUGAACUGGUCACUGAUUUUCCCACGGACCUGCCAGCAACCGAAGUUUUCACUCCAGUUGUCCCCACAGUAGACACAUAUGAUGGCCGAGGUGAUAGUGUGGUUUAUGGACUGAGGUCAAAAUCUAAGAAGUUUCGCAGACCUGACAUCCAGUACCCUGAUGCUAUAGACGAGGACAUCACCUCACACAUGGAAAGCGAGGAGUUGAAUGGUGCAUACAAGGCCAUCCCCGUUGCCCAGGACCUGAACGCGCCUUCUGAUUGGGACAGCCGUGGGAAGGACAGUUAUGAAACGAGUCAGCUGGAUGACCAAAGUGCUGAAACCCACAGCCACAAGCAGUCCAGAUUAUAUAAGCGGAAAGCCAGUGAUGAGAGCAAUGAGCAUUCCGAUGUGAUUGAUAGUAAGGAACUUUCCAAAGUCAGCCGUGAAUUCCACAGCCAUGAAUUUCACAGCCAAGGAGAUAUGCUGGUUGUAGACCCCAAAAGUAAGGAAGAAGAUAAACACCUGAAAUUUCGUAUUUCUCAUGAAUUAGAUAGUGCAUCUUCUGAGGUCAAUUAAAAGGAGAAAAAAUACAAUUUCUCACUUUGCUUUUAGUCAAAAGAAAAAAUGCUUUAUAGCAAAAUGAAAGAGAACAUGAAAUGCUUCUUUCUCAGUUUAUUGGUUGAAUGUGUAUCUAUUUGAGUCUGGAAAUAACUAAUGUGUUUGAUAAUUAGUUUAGUUUGUGGCUUCAUGGAAACUCCCUGUAAACUAAAAGCUUCAGGGUUAUGUUUAUGUUCAUUCUACAGAAGAAAUGCAAACUAUCACUGUAUUUUAAUAUUUGUUAUUCUCUCAUGAAUAGAAAUUUAUGUAGAAGCAAACAAAAUACUUUUACCCACUUAAAAAGAGAAUAUAACAUUUUAUGUCACUAUAAUCUUUUGUUUUUUAAGUUAGUGUAUAUUUUGUUAUUAUCUUUUUGUGGUGUGAAUAAAUCUUUUAUCUUGAAUGU
RNAcentral lists this small RNA (1663 nucleotides) under Pan troglodytes (chimpanzee). RNAcentral describes it as "processed transcript". Lineage: Eukaryota; Metazoa; Chordata; Mammalia; Primates; Hominidae. The record is from RNAcentral.